RNAcentral lists this ribosomal RNA (376 nucleotides) under uncultured bacterium. Its description in RNAcentral is "partial 16S ribosomal RNA". It matches the Rfam family "Bacterial small subunit ribosomal RNA", at positions 338 to 731 of the family's 1533-position model. The record is from RNAcentral.
CCUACGGGAGGCAGCAGUGGGGAAUAUUGCACAAUGGGGGAAACCCUGAAGCAGCGACGCCGCGUGAGUGAAGAAGUAUUUCUGGAUUGAAAACUCUAUCAGCAGGGGAGAAAAUGACGGUACCUGAUUAAGAAGCCCCGGCUAACUACGUGCCAGCAGCCGCGGUAAUAGGGAGGGUGCCAGCGUUAUCCGGAUUUACUGGGUGGAAAGGGAGCGUAGACGGCAGCAAAGGUCAGGCGUGAAAUUCGGGGGCUUAAACCCGGAUCUGCCUUGGAAACUGUGCAGCUAGAGUGCAGGAGAGGUAAGUGGAAUUCGUGGUGUAGCGGUGAAAUGCGUAGAUAUUAGGAGGAACUCCAGUGGCGAAGGCGGCUUACUG